This 460-nucleotide ribosomal RNA is filed under the name uncultured bacterium. RNAcentral's name for it is "partial 16S ribosomal RNA". It matches the Rfam family "Bacterial small subunit ribosomal RNA", at positions 338 to 795 of the family's 1533-position model. The record is from RNAcentral.
CCUACGGGGUGCAGCAGUGAGGAAUAUUGGUCAAUGGGCGCGAGCCUGAACCAGCCAAGUAGCGUGAAGGAUGACUGCCCUACGGGUUGUAAACUUCUUUUAUAAAGGAAUAAAGUGAGGCACGUGUGCCUUUUUGUAUGUACUUUAUGAAUAAGGAUCGGCUAACUCCGCGCCAGCAGCCGCGGUAAUACGGUGGAUCCGAGCGUUAUCCGGAUUUAUUGGGUUUAAAGGGCGCGUAGAUGGGUUGUUAAGUCAGUUGUGAAAGUUUGCGGCUCAACCGUAAAAUUGCAAUUGAUACUGGCAGCCUUGAGUACAGUUGAGGUAGGCGGAAUUCGUGGUGUAGCGGUGAAAUGCUUAGAUAUCGCGAAUAACUCCGAUUGCGAAGGCAGCCUACUAAACUGCCACUGACAUUGAUGCUCGAAAGUGUGGGUAUCAAACAGGAGUAGAUACCCGAGUAGUC